CCUGUCGAACUUCAUCAAGCUCGAUUUUAAAGGCACUUAUUCCUUUACUAAGAUUUUUUUUUUAAAAAAAAUUAUCUUACUGCUGACAAACACCUUUUGUUCAGCAGGCAGAUAAAAGAAAUAUCUCCUCAUUUUCUUAAGGGACCCUACAAAAUUAUACUUAUCAGACUUAGGAUUGAGCUUGUUAGUUUGUAAUCGUUUAACAUAAGCUGGACACCCCCAGACCCUAAAGUAAGAGAGGUUCGGCCUACGUCCUGACCAUAUCUCAUAUGCUGUCUUAUUAACUGACUUGCUCAGAAUAUUAUUGAGCAUAAGAUAGGCCAUUUCAAGUGCAUAUCUCCAAAAAG
RNAcentral lists this long non-coding RNA (347 nucleotides) under Elaeis guineensis (African oil palm). RNAcentral's name for it is "long non-coding RNA (EGUI_LNC066531)". Lineage: Eukaryota; Viridiplantae; Streptophyta; Magnoliopsida; Arecales; Arecaceae. The record is from RNAcentral.